RNAcentral lists this long non-coding RNA (522 nucleotides) under Naja naja (Indian cobra). RNAcentral describes it as "lncRNA (ENSNNAG00000006045.1)". Lineage: Eukaryota; Metazoa; Chordata; Lepidosauria; Squamata; Elapidae. The record is from RNAcentral.
AUGACGUCAAAGGCGAGGGAGGGGCGGAUCCCGCAAUCCCGAAAAGACCUCCACGGUUGGGUGACUUUUGCAAGACGUUUCCCGGAACCAGCCGCUUUUCGGCGCGGCCAUCCGAGCAUCAUGGAUUUGAAUUUGCAGUUUUGGAGAAACGAGGGUCAAGCGGACAUUAAUGCAUCAAGAGAUCUUUUACUGAAUAGUGGAGAAAAUGUAACGUCUUCACAAGAUAAAAAGGUCAGAGAUGCCUGGAAAAUAAGUCUGAGCUGCGUGAAUUCCAGCACUGGUGAUACAAUUCCAUUCUUCUUUAGAGGAGGAGGUCAGUUUCAAAUCUCAGUUUAUUCCAAUUUGAACUCAGGUUUUCAGUUUAGUUUUUAGUUUACUUUAUUGUCAUUGCACCUUCUAUAAUGAAAUUAAAUGCCAUCUUCAGUGUACAUUAUAACUAUAAAAAUAAAACACAAACACGCAUCCUUCACAUUCUAUACAAUUGAAUUGAAAACCCGAUAUUGCAUUAAUAUUGCACUAUAC